This 1967-nucleotide long non-coding RNA is filed under the name Lynx pardinus (Iberian lynx). Lineage: Eukaryota; Metazoa; Chordata; Mammalia; Carnivora; Felidae. The record is from RNAcentral.
CAGAUAAACACAUAAGUCAGUGAGUGAAUGCUGAAUAAUUCUUUUCUGGACCCCGUUGUGCUUGGCAACUACCACGCUGUUGAGUGAAUAACUGAGUGUAUAGUUUCAUUCCAGAAUUUAUUUUUUCCUUUGGCUUCUCCCCCACCCCCCACUUUUCUCCCUGUUUAAAAAUCCCAAAAAGACAUGACAGAAGCACAAAGAUCAAGGAUCAGGCAGUUGGUUUACCAGAAUAGUAAAGAAAAGAGAGAACCUGGAAUUUUUCCUCCAGCUUCAAUGUAGAAAAAAUGUCUAUAUCCCGAGGUCUGUCCUAGACUCUGGAGCACUGCUCUUGCUGUCCUCUUGUACCUCCCCAAACAGUAGGCCUAAGGGCUCUGCCUGGAGGGCUGGAGGCCCUGCAAAGAGCGAGGAAGCUGACUGAGCUGUGAUUGUUCCUGAGCUGUGGGGACAGUGGCUGUUCUGGGCACUUCAGGAAGUACUUGCUCUAAGAGGCCCUUCCAGCUAUUGUCUUUGGGGCCAGGACUGUUGGGCUGGCCCCGGGACAGGGUGCCCCCUCCAAGCCAAAGGUCUGCCUAGGGCUCAGGGGGCAGGAAGGUAAAACAGGGUCAGUACUCAACCAGGAAGGGGCCUUGGGCUCAAGCUUCUCUUUUCUUUAGGCCAUUAGCGCCAGGUGCCUCUGCACUUAUUUGUCUCCUCUGGCCAUGCACGUAUUGAUUAAAGAUAAGCCAGUCUCUCCGGGUGAUAGGUGGCCGGACCAGCGAGAACUAGCUGGUGCCAUGGAAGGCACGUGGACUUUGGAGUGGAGGCCCGAGGCUUGAACGCUGGCUCUGCCCCUCCCUCUGCCCUGGGACACUUCUGAAUCUCCUCUUCCUCUUCCUCUGCCAGAGAAGAGAUAUAAUCACCGGCUUGAGAGGCCAUGAGGAUGAGCCGAAUAAGAUUGAUGAACCUGUCAGGUACACAAUAGCAGUGGGAAAAGCCUGGUUUCCUUCCUUCUCUCGAGCAGCUGGACGAGGGAGGGCGGCGUGGGGAUGUGGUCGGGCGGCAGAUGUCACGUCUCACUGCAUUUCUGCCUGUCACAGGCUGCUGGCCUGGGCGCUGAGCCCGCUCCCGCCUGAAUUCUCCCGACAGCUGCCCUGCUUCUCCACUUGGACUUGCCGGGGCUCCCGUUGGAACCAAGAAAAGCCUCUGCUCUGCUCCAGUCACACACAAAAAAAUAGCAAGAAUGAUGCAACAUGUGUCUCUCAUGGCCACCAGCCACGGAGAAGGUCCAGGCAUCCAGAUCCCUACCCCAAACUCAUGCCAGCAUUGCAAAUCAAUGCCCUCUUGUUCCCAUGAAUCCUGGGUAACUCCCACCACUCUACCCGGCAGCAGCUCUGUCACCCCCUUAUCUCGUGACAAAGGCCACCAACCUAGCCACUGAGGCACAAAAUUGGCCGGGUGCAGAGAAAGUUUCUAAGUACCUAAUCCCUGUAACCUGACCUUUAAUUCUAAUAACAGUGACAUUUAUUAAAGAUUAUGUGCCUGGCACUGUUCUGAGCUCUUCAUAUUAACUCAUUUCAUCUUUACCAACGUAUUUUUGAGGUAGGCACAGUUUAUAUCACCAUUUUACAGGAGGAGAAACGGAGUCUCAGGGGGAGUGAUGUCAGCAUUAUGGCAGCAUGAGACAUUCCUCCAUUCUCUCCCCUUUUAACAAUGAAUUAAACAUCCAUCCAUGAAGAUGUCUCAGAGUGAGUUGUAGGAACCAGUACCAUAUGUCAAGGGACCCAGGAGGCCUCUCACCCAGCUGUGCAUCCAAAAAUAGGCAGACAGAUCUCUUGGUAAGGGCUGUGGGUUCUGAGUCUCAGAGACUUCAGUGGCUGGCCCACGACCAAAGACUUGACACGUUGCAGGUGAGAUGUGAACCCAUUUCUGCAGCUGCCGAGUCUAGUGUUUUCUGUGUUCCCACCAGGGCACUGAUUCCCAAACCAAAC